RNAcentral lists this ribosomal RNA (429 nucleotides) under Acidobacteriota bacterium. Its description in RNAcentral is "Acidobacteria bacterium partial 16S ribosomal RNA". It matches the Rfam family "Bacterial small subunit ribosomal RNA", at positions 355 to 776 of the family's 1533-position model. Lineage: Bacteria; Pseudomonadati; Acidobacteriota. The record is from RNAcentral.
UGGGGAAUUUUGGACAAUGGGGGAAACCCUGAUCCAGCCAUCCCGCGUGUGCGAUGAAGGCCUUCGGGUUGUAAAGCACUUUUGGCAGGAAAGAAACGUCAUGGGUUAAUACCCCGUGAAACUGACGGUACCUGCAGAAUAAGCACCGGCUAACUACGUGCCAGCAGCCGCGGUAAUACGUAGGGUGCAAGCGUUAAUCGGAAUUACUGGGCGUAAAGCGUGCGCAGGCGGUUCGGAAAGAAAGAUGUGAAAUCCCAGAGCUCAACUUUGGAACUGCAUUUUUAACUACCGGGCUAGAGUGUGUCAGAGGGAGGUGGAAUUCCGCGUGUAGCAGUGAAAUGCGUAGAUAUGCGGUGGAAUACCGAUGGCGAAGGCAGCCUCCUGGGAUAACACUGACGCUCAUGCACGAAAGCGUGGGGAGCAAACAGG